GAUGAACGCUGGCGGCGUGCCUAAUACAUGCAAGUCGAGCGUACAGACGAGGAGCUUGCUCCUCUGACGUUAGCGGCGGACGGGUGAGUAACACGUGGUUAACCUACCUAUAAGACUGGGAUAACUUCGGGAAACCGGAGCUAAUACCGGAUAAUAUAUUGAACCGCAUGGUUCCAUAGUGAAAGACGGUUUUGCUGUCACUUAUAGAUGGAUCCGCGCCGCAUUAGCUAGUUGGUAAGGUAACGGCUUACCAAGGCAACGAUGCGUAGCCGACCUGAGAGGGUGAUCGACCACACUGGAACUGAGACACGGCCCAGACUCCUACGGGAGGCAGCAGUAGGGAAUCUUCCGCAAUGGGCGAAAGCCUGACGGAGCAACGCCGCGUGAGUGAUGAAGGUCUUCGGACCGUAAAACUCUGUUAUUAGGGAAGAACAAAUGUGUAAGUAACUAUGCACGUCUUGACGGUACCUAAUCAGAAAGCCACGGCUAACUACGUG
This 497-nucleotide ribosomal RNA is filed under the name uncultured bacterium. RNAcentral's name for it is "partial 16S ribosomal RNA". It matches the Rfam family "Bacterial small subunit ribosomal RNA", at positions 28 to 507 of the family's 1533-position model. The record is from RNAcentral.